This 494-nucleotide ribosomal RNA is filed under the name uncultured bacterium. Its description in RNAcentral is "partial 16S ribosomal RNA". It matches the Rfam family "Bacterial small subunit ribosomal RNA", at positions 28 to 507 of the family's 1533-position model. The record is from RNAcentral.
GACGAACGCUGGCGGCGUGCUUAACACAUGCAAGUCGAACGGAAAGGCCUGCUUUCCCUUGUGGAUUGCGGGUACUCGCGUGGCGAACGGGUGAGUAACACGUGAGUGAUCUGCCCCCAACUUGGGUAUAAGCCUGGGAAACUGGGUCUAAUUCCCGAUAGGACUGCAGGGUGGUGCCUGUGGUGGAAAACGAUUUUCUAGUGGUUGGGGAUGAGCUCGCGGCCUAUCAGCUUGUUGGUGGGGUAAUGGCCUACCAAGGCGGCGACGGGUAGCCGGCCUGAGAGGGUGGACGGCCACAUUGGGACUGAGAUACGGCCCAGACUCCGACGGGAGGCAGCAGUGGGGAAUAGUGCACAAUGGGCGGAAGCCUGAUGCAGCGACGCCGCGUGGGGGAUGACGGCCUUCGGGUUGUAAACUCCUUUCGACCGCGAGGAAGCCACCUGGUUGGAAGGGUGGUGACGGUAGUGGGAGAAGAAGCACCGGCUAACUACGUG